GAGACUUGAGUAGGAAGGGCGACCCCAACCAAGAGAACCCAAGCUAGUGUGGUUCUCACGCUACACUUCUCUUAAAUGCCUGGAUACAGGAGGUAUGAUGACUGAAGAGAUGGAAGGAGAGAUUGAGAAAAGGAUAAGAAGAAGGAAGAGUUGAACCAACGAAUGGAUAUACAUUUCGAUGACAAGCCUCCCUUUAGGGGCACC
RNAcentral lists this long non-coding RNA (204 nucleotides) under Vigna radiata. RNAcentral describes it as "long non-coding RNA (VRAD_LNC007281)". The record is from RNAcentral. Lineage: Eukaryota; Viridiplantae; Streptophyta; Magnoliopsida; Fabales; Fabaceae.